This 390-nucleotide ribosomal RNA is filed under the name Chloroflexota bacterium. RNAcentral describes it as "bacterial SSU rRNA". It matches the Rfam family "Bacterial small subunit ribosomal RNA", at positions 1 to 389 of the family's 1533-position model. The record is from RNAcentral. Lineage: Bacteria; Bacillati; Chloroflexota.
AUCCAAUGGAGAGUUUGAUCCUGGCUCAGGAUAAACGCUGGCGGCGUGCCUUACGCAUGCAAGUCGAACGAAGCCCCUCGCUUCGGUGAGGGAGACUGAGUGGCAAACGGCUGAGUAACGCGUAGGUGAUCUGUCCCGAGGAGGGGAACAACCCGUGGAAACGCGGGCUAAUGCCCCAUACGCCCACCGGAUCGGACCGGUGGGGAAAUGUUCCGGCGCCUUGGGAGGAGCCUGCGUCCGAUUAGCUGGUUGGUGGGGUAACGGCCUACCAAGGCGACGAUCGGUAGCUGGUCUGAGAGGAUGAUCAGCCACACUGGGACUGAGACACGGCCCAGACUCCUACGGGAGGCAGCAGCAGGGAAUCUUGCGCAAUGGGCGAAAGCCUGACGC